AUUGAACGCUGGCGGCAUGCUUUACACAUGCCAGUCGAGCGGCAGCGCGGGGGCAACCCUGGCGGCGAGCGGCGAACGGGUGAGUAAUGCAUCGGAACGUAUCCUCGAGUGGGGGAUAACCCAGCGAAAGUUGGGCUAAUACCGCAUGAGCUCUGAGGAGGAAAGCGGGGGACCUGCGGGGGCCUCGCGCUGGAGGAGCGGCCGAUGUCCGAUUAGCUAGUUGGUGGGGUAAAGGCUUACCAAGGCGACGAUCGGUAGCUGGUCUGAGAGGAUGAUCAGCCACACUGGGACUGAGACACGGCCCAGACUCCUACGGGAGGCAGCAGUGGGGAAUUUUGGACAAUGGGGGCAACCCUGAUCCAGCCAUGCCGCGUGAGUGAAGAAGGCCUUCGGGCUGUAAAGCUCUUUCGGACGGAACGAAAUGGGCGGGACUAAUACUCCUGUCUGAUGACGGUACCGUAAGAAGAAGCACCGGCUAACUACGUG
Molecule: ribosomal RNA, 486 nt
Filed under: uncultured bacterium
Lineage: Bacteria
Description: partial 16S ribosomal RNA
Rfam family: Bacterial small subunit ribosomal RNA
Source: RNAcentral